GAUGAAGAACGCAGCGAAAUGCGAUAAGUAGUGUGAAUUGCAGAAUUCAGUGAAUCAUCGAAUCUUUGAACGCACAUUGCGCCCCUUGGUAUUCCAUGGGGCAUGCCUGUUCGAGCGUCAUUUGUACCUUCAAGCCUUGCUUGGUGUUGGGUGUUUGUCUCGCCUCUGCGCGCAGACUCGCCUCAAAACAAUUGGCAGCCGGCGUAUUGAUUUCGGAGCGCAGUACAUCUCGCGCUUUGCACUCAGAACGACGUCCAAAAGUACAUUUUUACACUCUUGACCUCGGAUCAGGUAGGGAUACCCGCUGAACUUAAGCAUAUCAAUAAGCGGAGGA
Molecule: unclassified non-coding RNA, 334 nt
Filed under: soil metagenome
Description: partial contains 5.8S ribosomal RNA, internal transcribed spacer 2, and large subunit ribosomal RNA
Rfam family: 5.8S ribosomal RNA (bases 1-120)
Source: RNAcentral